UGAAACUUUCAACGUUGUGGAUCUCUCGCGAUCGGACGUUUUUUCGGAGAAGCCUGGUCGCAUCGAGAUCGGGUCCAACUCUUGGAAUUUUCUUUCCGAUUGUCUUGGAAAAUAUCUUCUUCGUCGCGUGUUUGUGUGUGUGUGCUCUGUGGAGUUUAUAAAAAUAAGUCGAAAAGUGUUUGCCGCAUCAACAAAAAUAAAAACACCCAAGAGUCGAGGGCUGUUUGUUGUGUCUGUACAACAGAAUUUCUAAAUUUUUACCUCCAUCGCCCAAGGAAUACAUAGAGACGAACGAUCGUAGCUGAAAAAAGUAUCCGCUACCGGUGUGUUUAAUAGCACCAGAAUGAACGAAUACAUCUUUUGAAGACAGAAAAGGAAGAGAAUCCGUGGUGAAAUUCUUCUACCGUUGCCAACUGUAAGAGAUCUCCACACAAACGAACGAGAAGAAAAAACUGAUUAAAGUCCCGGCCGGAAGUGCCCCAGUGGAACGCGACCCCAACAACAGAGCCAGAUCGAGAUGCUGGAACUGCGGCUUAUCGUGGUCGUCGUGCUCGGCCUGCUCGGCAGCCAGUGUGGCCUGGUGGAUUCCCAAAGAGCGCCCCAGCAUGGCCGACGGGACAGACCCAAAUAUAUGCAGAAGAACUUUGUCAAGACGCAUCCUUGCGAGAGGUCCUCGUGCUACCCGGCGACGGGUAAUCUCCUGAUCGGAAGGGAAAACCGCCUAACUGCCAGUUCCACUUGUGGACUGCACUCGCCGGAGAGAUUCUGCAUCCUGUCCCAUCUGCAGGACAACAAGUGUUUCCUGUGCGACACGCGGGAGAAGACCAAGCAGGAUCCCGCGAUGAACCAUCGCGUCGGUCAGAUCAUAUACAAAACUAAGCCCGGAACCAACAGGCCCACCUGGUGGCAGUCGGAGAACGGCAAGGAGAAUGUCACCAUUCAACUGGACCUGGAGGCGGAGUUCCACUUCACCCAUUUGAUCAUAACCUUUACCACUUUCCGACCUGCGGCCAUGUACAUUGAGAGGUCCUUCGACUUCGGGAACACAUGGCACGUCUACAGAUAUUUCGCCUACGACUGCAAGGAGUCCUUUCCGGGAGUACCCACAGUCUUGGAAAACAUCACCGAUGUGAUGUGCACAUCGAGGUACUCUAGUGUGGAGCCCUCCAGAAAUGGUGAAGUCAUCUUCAGGGUGCUGCCACCCAACAUCAAUGUUACGGAUCCCUAUGCGGAGCACGUCCAGAAUCAGCUAAAGAUGACUAACCUCAGAAUUCAGAUGACCAAGCUGCACAAGCUGGGAGACAAUCUUUUGGACAGCAGGUUGGAGAACGAGGAGAAGUACUACUACGGCAUAUCCAACAUGGUGGUGCGAGGAUCCUGCUCCUGCUACGGCCACGCCUCCCAGUGUCUGCCAAUGGAUCCGGCGUUUUCUCAGGAGGACAAUGAAGACGGCAUGGUCCAUGGCCGCUGCGAGUGUACUCACAACACCAAGGGAAUGAACUGCGAGGUAUGCGAGGACUUCUUCAACGAUCUGCCCUGGAAACCGGCCUUCGGAAAGCAAACGAAUGCCUGCAAGAAAUGCGAGUGUAACGACCACGCCGUCAGUUGCCACUUCGAUGAGGCUGUAUUCACUGCAUCCGGACUAGUUUCCGGCGGAGUGUGCGACAACUGCUUGCACAACACCCAGGGACAGCACUGCGAGGAGUGUAUGCCGUUCUUCUACCGCGAUCCCGAGCAGGAUCUCAAUUCCCCAAGUGUUUGCCAGCCCUGUGACUGCGAUCCCGAAGGUUCGUUGGACGACGGUAUCUGCGACUCUGUCAACGAUCCGGAGAAUGGCGCCACAGCUGGCGCCUGCCAUUGCAAGGCCUUCGUCACGGGACGUCGUUGUAACGAGUGCAAAGAUGGUUACUGGAAUCUGCAGCUGGAUAAUCCCGAGGGCUGCGAGUCCUGUACUUGCAACCCCCUGGGUACUUUGAACAAUUCCGGAUGCGUUAUGCGCACGGGAGAGUGCAAGUGUAAGAAGUAUGUCACUGGCAAGGACUGCAACCAAUGUAUGCCGGAGACCUACGGUCUUUCGGAUUCACCUGAGGGGUGCGCCCUCUGUAACUGCGACGCCGGAGGAUCCUACGAUAAUUACUGCGAUGUGAUAAGCGGUCAGUGUCGCUGCAGGCCCCACAUGACAGGAAGAACCUGCGCCCAUCCGAAACAGAACUACUUUAUUCCAACGCUAACGCAAGUCCACGAAGCGGAAGUGGUAGACGAGUGCAUCUCCUACGGCAAUAGUGGAAACUGCAGCCUGGUGGCUGAAAAUCCGGAUGGCACCUUCACGGGAAUUGGUUUCACCAGGGUUCCCGAGAACACAGAGCUGGUUUUCACCGUCGGAGACAUUCCCCGAUCCAUGCCCCACGACGUGAUUAUACGCUAUCAGAGCACCUCUCGAGGAGAUUGGGAGGAUGCGUACAUCACUCUGGUAAGGCCGGAUCAAGUCGACCCAGACGGAGGGUGUGGGCAAGUGGCUGCGGCCACUGCAUCAGAGACCAGAAUACCCUUUUCCCUGCCCGAUCGCAGUCGACACGUGGUGGCGUUGAACGACGUGUGCUUGGAGGCAGGAAAGGUUUAUAAAUUCCGAAUCUAUUUUGAGCGCAGGCGACACGAUGGAGACAGCCCCACAGCCACAAUCUUGGUGGAUUCCCUAACACUCAUCCCCCGCAUCGAUGUCACCUCCGUAUUCCAAGGUUCCGUGCUGGCCGAUCUUCGUAGGCAGGACUAUGAGAGACACCAUUGCAAUGCCUCUCUGUACGAUUUGAACUAUGUUCCCGACCCGAAAUGUCUGAGCCUGGACAUUGUUGCGAGUGAAGAGAUCCACGACGGAGCCAGAAUGUGUAACUGCAACCCCACGGGAUCGCUCAGCAAGGAGUGCGACGCCUACGGAGGAUACUGCCAGUGCAAGCCGAACGUGGUGGGCAGGCAGUGCGACCAGUGUGCCCCGGGCACCUACGGAUUCGGACCGGAGGGAUGCAAGGCCUGCGACUGCAACAGCAUCGGAUCGAAGGACAAGUACUGCGAUCUGAUAACCGGUCAGUGCCAGUGCGUGCCGAACACCUACGGCAGGGAGUGCAACCAGUGCCAGCCGGGCUACUGGAACUUCCCCGAGUGCAGGGUCUGCCAGUGCAAUGGUCAUGCGGCGCAGUGCGAUCCAAUCCAUGGAACCUGUCUGGACUGUCAGGACUCGACCACCGGCUACAGCUGCGACACCUGCCUGGACGGGUACUACGGAAACCCCCUGUUCGGCAGUGAGAUUGGGUGCCGUCCGUGCCGCUGCCCGGAAACGGUGGCCAGUGGAAUGGCCCAUGCGGAGGGCUGCUCCCUGGACACGCGGAACAACAACAUGCUGUGCCACUGCCAGGAAGGGUAUUCCGGCUCUCGCUGCGAGAUCUGCGCGGACAACUUCUUCGGAGUGCCGGACAACGGGGGAACCUGCUCGAAGUGCGAGUGCAGCAACAACGUCGAUCUCUACGACACUGGCAACUGCGAUCGCCAGACGGGAGCUUGCCUGAAGUGCUUGUAUCAGACUACUGGGGACCACUGCGAGCUCUGCAAGGAUGGGUUCUUCGGGGACGCACUGCAGCAGAACUGCCAGCAGUGCGACUGCGACUUCCUCGGAACGAACAACACCAUAGCCCACUGCGAUCGCUUCUCGGGUCAGUGCCCUUGCUUGCCGAACGUCCAGGGUGUGCGAUGCGAUAAGUGCGCCCCGAACCACUGGAAGAUUGCCUCUGGCGAGGGAUGCGAAAGCUGCAACUGCGAUCCCAUCGGAGCUCUCGACGAACAGUGUAAUUCCUACACUGGGCAGUGCGAGUGCAAGCAAGGAUUCGGAGGCAGGGCCUGUAAUCAGUGCGAGGCCCACUACUGGGGCAAUCCCAACGAGAAGUGCCAGCCCUGCGAGUGCGAUCAGUAUGGAGCUGCUGAUCACCAGUGCGAUCGGGAGACAGGUACUUGUGUCUGCCACGAGGGAAUUGGAGGCUACAAGUGUAACGAGUGCGCCAGGGGCUACAUUGGUCAGUUCCCGCAUUGCUCGCCUUGUGGCGAAUGCUUCAACAACUGGGAUUUGAUCUUGAGUGCCCUAGAGGACUCAACCACAGCCACUAUCCAGCGAGCCAAGGAAAUCAAGCAAGUGGGCGCGACAGGGGCCUAUACGUCCGAGUUCAGCGAACUGGAUAAGAAACUGCAGCACAUCAGGAAUCUGCUGCAGAACACCUCAGUUAGCCUGGUGGACAUUGAGAAUCUGGAUGCGGAAACCAAUGCCCUCAAACAGCAGCUUCAGGCAUCCCAUGGCCGGUUAAGCGAAACCGAAAGAAAGUUAGAUGACAUAUACAACUCCCUGAGUUUGUCGGGUGUGGAGCUGGAGAGCCUGCAAAAUCACUCCAGAUUGGUGCAACAGCUGUCCAAGGAACUGAAGGAAAAUGGCAUACAACUCCAGGAGCUGAACAUCGGGGGAGCUUUGAACCUUACACGCCACGCCUACGAAACGGUCAGGAAUUUAACGGCCCUCAAGGACGAAGCCAAUGAACUGGCCUCGAACACAGAUAGGAACUGCAAGAGGGUCGAGACUCUGUCCAACAAGAUCCAGGCCGAGGCAAAGAACUUGGCCAACAAUGACAAGUUCAUCGCUGACUAUCGAGCAGAGUUGACUUCUCUAACAUCCCAAGUUCCCGAGCUGAACAACCAGGUUUGCGGCAAGCGAGGCGAUCCCUGCGACAGCUUGUGCGGUGGAGCCGGUUGUGGCCACUGUGGAGGAUUCCUGUCCUGCGAGCAUGGCGCGAAAACCCACUCGGAAGAAGCUCUGAAAGUGGCCAAGGAUGCCGAGGCGGCCAUCACCAGCAAGAAGGACCAGGCGGAUCAGACCAUACGGGCUCUGACCCAGGCCAAGUUAAAUGCCUCCGAGGCCUACGAGAAGGCAAAGAGGGGAUUCGAGCAAUCCGAGCGAUAUCUGAACCAAACCAAUGCCAACAUCAAGCAGGCUGAAAAGCUAUUUACUGCCCUCAACAAUUUCCAGGAGAACAAGACCGCUUCCCCAUCAGAGAGCAAAGAACUGGCGCAGAAAACCCUGGACUUGGAUCUGAAACUGGAACCCGAGGAGAUUGAGUCCCUGGGAAAGCAGAUCAACGAGGCUGUCUCAUCCCUGAGGAACGUAGAAGCCAUCAUCUACAAGACCAAACCCGAUUUGGACAGGGUCAACAAUCUGCAGAGCAUUGCCAAUGCCACCAAGGAGAAAGCCGACAAGAUCCUCGACUCGGCCAAUUCUGUGGUAGAGAGUCUGGCGGCGGCAGAUGAGUCCCAGGGAAAAGCCAAGGAUGCCAUCAAACAGGCCAACAGCAACAUUGAACUGGCCGGCCAGGACCUCGAGAAGAUCGAUGAAGAAACGUACUCAGCAGAGGCCCCAGCCAAUAACACAGCCGAGCAGGUUGAGAAGUUGGCCAAGAAAGUGCAGAAACUUCAGAACAACAUCGUAAAGAACGAACGAGAUGCCAAGGAGAUUACCAAGGAGGCGGGUCGCGUAAAAUUGGAUGCCAUGAGGGCACGGGGAGAGGCCAACAAUCUGCAAUCUGCGACCAGUGCCACUAACCAGACCCUCACCGACCGAGCUAGUCGCUCGGAAAAUGCCAGGGAAAGGGCCAAGCAGCUCCUCCAGAGGGCCUCCAAACUAACCGUCGACACUAAUGCCAAGCUGAAGGAUCUGAAUGACCUGCAGGCCGUCUACCAGAACAAGAACCAACAGCUGCUCCAGCUGCAGGCCGACAUUGGACCCCUGAACAAGGAGCUCAACGAGCACCUGAUUCACAUCAAGGAGCGAGCGUCGUACUAUAGGCAGUGCUAGACGUAGAUCGGAAAAGAGGGUGUUAUAAUUUUGGUCAGAAGUUUGAAAGGCAGUGAAGGAGACGUCUCGGAACCUUUAAAGUAUAUUCCUCCUCUGCGCGGCCAUUUAAAUUGCCAUAUUCAUGAACAAAUAAGCAAAUUGCGAAUUACGAGAAUCAAGUAAGCAACUACAGCAACAACUAGGAAGGCAAAAGUUAUUAUGUAACCACUGUUAAGUUACCGUUACGUUUUGUACUCUAAGCGAAAACCAACACUGCAAUGUUAAUUUUAAAAAUUGAGCGAAUGAAAUCGAUGCCUUCACUUUUAAUGUGUACACACUGAGCUAAGUUUUUCUUAUACUAUCCCUAAACCAUUUUGUAAUGCAAUAAAUGUAAUUAAAUAAAACUACUUAAAUGUGGAAA
Molecule: non-coding RNA, 6278 nt
Organism: Drosophila suzukii
Lineage: Eukaryota; Metazoa; Arthropoda; Insecta; Diptera; Drosophilidae
Source: RefSeq, a predicted model, not a curated record